This 421-nucleotide ribosomal RNA is filed under the name Fusobacteriota bacterium. RNAcentral's name for it is "Fusobacteria bacterium partial 16S ribosomal RNA". It matches the Rfam family "Bacterial small subunit ribosomal RNA", at positions 355 to 776 of the family's 1533-position model. The record is from RNAcentral. Lineage: Bacteria; Fusobacteriati; Fusobacteriota.
UGGGGAAUAUUGCACAAUGGACGGAAGUUUGAUGCAGCGACGCCGCGUGGAGGGUGUAGGCCUUCGGGUUGUGAACUCCUUUUUCUCGCGAAAAAGGCACAGUUUUGGCUGUGUUGAUGGUAGUGGGGCAAGAAGCGCCGGCUAACUACGUGCCAGCAGCCGCGGUAAUACGUAGGGCGCGAGCGUUGUCCGGAUUUAUUGGGCGUAAAGAGCUCGUAGGUGGUUCGUCGCGUCUGUCGUGAAAGCCAGCAGCUUAACUGUUGGUCUGCGGUGGGUACGGGCGGGCUUGAGUGCGGUAGGGGUGACUGGAAUUCCUGGUGUAGCGGUGGAAUGCGCAGAUAUCAGGAGGAACACCGAUGGCGAAGGCAGGUCACUGGGCCGUUACUGACACUGAGGAGCGAAAGCGUGGGGAGCGAACAGG